This 519-nucleotide ribosomal RNA is filed under the name Pseudomonas sp. Hugh2934. RNAcentral's name for it is "bacterial SSU rRNA". It matches the Rfam family "Bacterial small subunit ribosomal RNA", at positions 8 to 521 of the family's 1533-position model. Lineage: Bacteria; Pseudomonadati; Pseudomonadota; Gammaproteobacteria; Pseudomonadales; Pseudomonadaceae. The record is from RNAcentral.
AGAGUUUGAUCCUGGCUCAGAUUGAACGCUGGCGGGCAGGCCUAACACAUGCAAGUCGAGCGGAUGACGGGAGCUUGCUCCUUGAUUCAGCGGCGGACGGGUGAGUAAUGCCUAGGAAUCUGCCUGGUAGUGGGGGACAACGUUUCGAAAGGAACGCUAAUACCGCAUACGUCCUACGGGAGAAAGCAGGGGACCUUCGGGCCUUGCGCUAUCAGAUGAGCCUAGGUCGGAUUAGCUAGUUGGUGAGGUAAUGGCUCACCAAGGCGACGAUCCGUAACUGGUCUGAGAGGAUGAUCAGUCACACUGGAACUGAGACACGGUCCAGACUCCUACGGGAGGCAGCAGUGGGGAAUAUUGGACAAUGGGCGAAAGCCUGAUCCAGCCAUGCCGCGUGUGUGAAGAAGGUCUUCGGAUUGUAAAGCACUUUAAGUUGGGAGGAAGGGCAGUAAGCUAAUACCUUGCUGUUUUGACGUUACCGACAGAAUAAGCACCGGCUAACUCUGUGCCAGCAGCCGCGGU